AAGUUAAAUGUGCACACAUAGAAGCCAAGUUCUAUGAGGAAGUUCACGAUCUUGAAAGAAAGUAUGCUGUUCUCUAUCAGCCUUUAUUUGAUAAGCGAUUUGAGAUCAUUAAUGCAAUUUAUGAACCUACAGAAGAAGAAUGUCAAUGGAAACUAGAUGAAGAAGAUGAAAUUUCGGAGGAGCUGAAAGAAAAGGCCAAGAUUGAAGAUGA
This is a long non-coding RNA of Hipposideros armiger (great roundleaf bat), 211 nucleotides long. RefSeq lists it as uncharacterized. The transcript has 3 exons. NCBI's taxonomy places the organism in Eukaryota, Metazoa, Chordata, Mammalia, Chiroptera, Hipposideridae. The record is from RefSeq and is a predicted model, not a curated record.